Molecule: long non-coding RNA, 207 nt
Filed under: Mytilus galloprovincialis (Mediterranean mussel)
Lineage: Eukaryota; Metazoa; Mollusca; Bivalvia; Mytilida; Mytilidae
Source: RNAcentral
AAAAAAAAAAAUGAACGAAAAACAAAUAUGUAACACAUAAACAAACUACAACCACUGAAUUACAGGCUCCUGACUUGGGACAGGCACAUACAUAAAUAAUGUGGCGGGGUUAAACAUGUUAGCGGGAUCCCAACCCUCCCCCUAACCUGGGACAGUGGUAUAACAGUACAACAUAAGAACGAACUAUAACAAUCAGUUGAAAAAGGC